GUGGCCUUAGCUCAGUUGGUAGAGCGCCUGACUGUUAAUCAGGUUGUCGCUGGUUCGAGUCCAGCAGGCUACGUCA
This 76-nucleotide transfer RNA is filed under the name Lactiplantibacillus plantarum. RNAcentral describes it as "Lactobacillus plantarum tRNA-Asn". It matches the Rfam family "tRNA". From Rfam's summary of the family: Transfer RNA (tRNA) molecules are approximately 80 nucleotides in length. Their secondary structure includes four short double-helical elements and three loops (D, anti-codon, and T loops). Further hydrogen bonds mediate the characteristic L-shaped molecular structure. tRNAs have two regions of fundamental functional importance: the anti-codon, which is responsible for specific mRNA codon recognition, and the 3' end, to which the tRNAs corresponding amino acid is attached (by aminoacyl-tRNA synthetases). tRNAs cope with the degeneracy of the genetic code in two manners: having more than one tRNA (with a specific anti-codon) for a particular amino acid; and 'wobble' base-pairing, i.e. permitting non-standard base-pairing at the 3rd anti-codon position. The record is from RNAcentral. Lineage: Bacteria; Bacillati; Bacillota; Bacilli; Lactobacillales; Lactobacillaceae.